GGGUGAUCUGCCCUGCACUUUGGGAUAAGCCUGGGAAACUGGGUCUAAUACCGAAUAGGACCACGCGCUUCAUGGUGUGUGGUGGAAAGCUUUUGCGGUGUGGGAUGGGCCCGCGGCCUAUCAGCUUGUUGGUGGGGUAAUGGCCUACCAAGGCGACGACGGGUAGCCGGCCUGAGAGGGUGACCGGCCACACUGGGACUGAGAUACGGCCCAGACUCCUACGGGAGGCAGCAGUGGGGAAUAUUGCACAAUGGGCGCAAGCCUGAUGCAGCGACGCCGCGUGAGGGAUGACGGCCUUCGGGUUGUAAACCUCUUUCAAUAGGGACGAAGCGCAAGUGACGGUACCUAUAGAAGAAGCACCGGCCAACUACGUGCCAGCAGCCGCGGUAAUACGUAGGGUGCGAGCGUUGUCCGGAAUUACUGGGCGUAAAGAGCUCGUAGGUGGUUUGUCGCGUUGUUCGUGAAAACUCACAGCUUAACUGUGGGCGUGCGGGCGAUACGGGNNNNNCGGCCGCAAGGCUAAAACUCAAAGGAAUUGACGGGGGCCCGCACAAGCGGCGGAGCAUGUGGAUUAAUUCGAUGCAACGCGAAGAACCUUACCUGGGUUUGACAUGCACAGGACGCCGGCAGAGAUGUCGGUUCCCUUGUGGCCUGUGUGCAGGUGGUGCAUGGCUGUCGUCAGCUCGUGUCGUGAGANNNNNAACCCUUGUCCUAUGUUGCCAGCGGGUUAUGCCGGGGACUCGUAGGAGACUGCCGGGGUCAACUCGGAGGAAGGUGGGGAUGACGUCAAGUCAUCAUGCCCCUUAUGUCCAGGGCUUCACACAUGCUACAAUGGCCGGUACAAAGGGCUGCGAUGCCGUGAGGUGGAGCGAAUCCUUUCAAAGCCGGUCUCAGUUCGGAUCGGGGUCUGCAACUCGACCCCGUGAAGUCGGAGUCGCUAGUAAUCGCAGAUCAGCAACGCUGCGGUGAAUACGUUCCCGGGCCUUGUACACACCGCCCGUCACGUCAUGAAAGUCGGUAACACCCGAAGCCGGUGGCCUAACCCUUGUGGAGGGAGCCGUCGAAGGUGGGAU
This 1073-nucleotide ribosomal RNA is filed under the name Mycobacteroides chelonae. RNAcentral describes it as "bacterial SSU rRNA". It matches the Rfam family "Bacterial small subunit ribosomal RNA", at positions 119 to 1468 of the family's 1533-position model. Lineage: Bacteria; Bacillati; Actinomycetota; Actinomycetes; Mycobacteriales; Mycobacteriaceae. The record is from RNAcentral.